GGAAAAUGAGGCAAAUGGUGAUGAGGCAGAUUGUGUGUAACUCAGAGAAGCAAAACAAGAGCUCUGGAUAAUGUAAGAAACUGUCUGGGGGAAAGGAACAAAGAUAAGGACUUACUUUACUUUAGAGUUCAAUCAACAACAGGAAAGAAACAAGAUUCAAUGGAAAUGAGACAGACACCGGGGACUUAUUAUUUUCAAAAGUCACAGGAAGGGGAAUAUGAGAAAAAGAGGAGUGGAGUGGAUCAAACUGGAAACUUCUGGGGCCUCACCAAGAGUCUUGGCGUGA
Molecule: long non-coding RNA, 286 nt
Filed under: Homo sapiens (human)
Lineage: Eukaryota; Metazoa; Chordata; Mammalia; Primates; Hominidae
Description: HSALNT0133672
Source: RNAcentral